This 336-nucleotide ribosomal RNA is filed under the name Tubifex tubifex (sludge worm). Its description in RNAcentral is "partial 16S ribosomal RNA". It matches the Rfam family "Bacterial large subunit ribosomal RNA", at positions 1945 to 2517 of the family's 2925-position model. Lineage: Eukaryota; Metazoa; Annelida; Clitellata; Tubificida; Naididae. The record is from RNAcentral.
ACCGUGCAAAGGUAGCAUAAUCACUUGCCUAUUAAUUGUAGGCUAGAAUGAAAGGACAAACGAGAAUACACCUGUCUCCUUUAAGCCCUUAAAAAUUUAUCUUUAAGUGAAGAAGCUUAAAUUCAUAUGCAGGACAAGAAGACCCUAUAGAGCUUUACCUAAAAUCUACAUAGAUAGUAGCUAGCGGUUCGGUUGGGGCGACCGGGGGACAUUCAUCACCCCCCAAACUAAAAGAUAUACCUAUCUCACCAAAGAUCCUUACUCAAGAUCAAAGAAUCAAGCUACCUUAGGGAUAACAGGCUAAUCCUCUUAGAGAGCCCUUAUCGACAAGAGGGG